CCUACGUGAGGCAGCAGUAGGGAAUCUUCCACAAUGGGCGAAAGCCUGAUGGAGCAACGCCGCGUGGGUGAAGAAGGUCUUCGGAUCGUAAAACCCUGUUGUUAGAGAAGAAAGUGCGUGAGAGUAACUGUUCACGUUUCGACGGUAUCUAACCAGAAUGCCACGGCUAACUACGUGCCAGCAGCCGCGGUAAUACGUAGGUGGCAAGCGUUAUCCGGAUUUAUUGGGGGUAAAGGGAACGCAGGCGGUCUUUUAAGUCUGGUGUGAAAGCGUUCGGCUUAACCGGCGUAGUGCAGUGGAAACUGGGAGACUGGAGUGGAAAAGAGGAAAGCGGAAUGCGAGGUGUAGCGGUGAAAUGCGUAGAUAUAUGGAAGAACACCAGUGGCGAAAGCGGCUCUCUGGUCUGUAACUGACGCUGAGGUUCGAAAGCGUGGGUAGCGAACAGGAUUAGAUACCCUGGUAGUC
Molecule: ribosomal RNA, 465 nt
Filed under: uncultured bacterium
Lineage: Bacteria
Description: partial 16S ribosomal RNA
Rfam family: Bacterial small subunit ribosomal RNA
Source: RNAcentral